Molecule: ribosomal RNA, 253 nt
Filed under: uncultured bacterium
Lineage: Bacteria
Description: partial 16S ribosomal RNA
Rfam family: Bacterial small subunit ribosomal RNA
Source: RNAcentral
UACGAAGGGGGCUAGCGUUGUUCGGAAUUACUGGGCGUAAAGGGCGCGUAGGCGGCUUGUCAAGUCAGGCGUGAAAGCCCCGGGCUUAACCUGGGAACUGCGCUUGAGACUGGCAGGCUAGAGUUCGGGAGAGGCGGGUGGAAUUCCCAGUGUAGAGGUGAAAUUCGUAGAUAUUGGGAAGAACACCGGUGGCGAAGGCGGCCCGCUGGACCGACACUGACGCUGAGGCGCGAAAGCGUGGGGAGCAAACAGG